GAUGAACGCUGGCGGCGUGCCUAAUACAUGCAAGUCGAGCGAACGGACGAGAAGCUUGCUUCUCUGAUGUUAGCGGCGGACGGGUGAGUAACACGUGGAUAACCUACCUAUAAGACUGGGAUAACUUCGGGAAACCGGAGCUAAUACCGGAUAAUAUUUUGAACCGCAUGGUUCAAAAGUGAAAGACGGUCUUGCUGUCACUUAUAGAUGGAUCCGCGCUGCAUUAGCUAGUUGGUGAGGUAACGGCUUACCAAGGCAACGAUGCAUAGCCGACCUGAGAGGGUGAUCGGCCACACUGGAACUGAGACACGGUCCAGACUCCUACGGGAGGCAGCAGUAGGGAAUCUUCCGCAAUGGGCGAAAGCCUGACGGAGCAACGCCGCGUGAGUGAUGAAGGUCUUCGGAUCGUAAAACUCUGUUAUUAGGGAAGAACAUAUGUGUAAGUAACUGUGCACAUCUUGACGGUACCUAAUCAGAAAGCCACGGCUAACUACGUGCCAGCAGCCGCGGUAAUACGUAGGUGGCAAGCGUUAUCCGGAAUUAUUGGGCGUAAAGCGCGCGUAGGCGGCUUUUUAAGUCUGAUGUGAAAGCCCACGGCUCAACCGUGGAGGGUCAUUGGAAACUGGAAAACUUGAGUGCAGAAGAGGAAAGUGGAAUUCCAUGUGUAGCGGUGAAAUGCGCAGAGAUAUGGAGGAACACCAGUGGCGAAGGCGACUUUCUGGUCUGUAACUGACGCUGAUGUGCGAAAGCGUGGGGAUCAAACAGGAUUAGAUACCCUGGUAGUCCACGCCGUAAACGAUGAGUGCUAAGUGUUAGGGGGUUUCCGCCCCUUAGUGCUGCAGCUAACGCAUUAAGCACUCCGCCUGGGGAGUACGACCGCAAGGUUGAAACUCAAAGGAAUUGACGGGGACCCGCACAAGCGGUGGAGCAUGUGGUUUAAUUCGAAGCAACGCGAAGAACCUUACCAAAUCUUGACAUCCUUUGACAACUCUAGAGAUAGAGCCUUCCCCUUCGGGGGACAAAGUGACAGGUGGUGCAUGGUUGUCGUCAGCUCGUGUCGUGAGAUGUUGGGUUAAGUCCCGCAACGAGCGCAACCCUUAAGCUUAGUUGCCAUCAUUAAGUUGGGCACUCUAAGUUGACUGCCGGUGACAAACCGGAGGAAGGUGGGGAUGACGUCAAAUCAUCAUGCCCCUUAUGAUUUGGGCUACACACGUGCUACAAUGGACAAUACAAAGGGCAGCGAAACCGCGAGGUCAAGCAAAUCCCAUAAAGUUGUUCUCAGUUCGGAUUGUAGUCUGCAACUCGACUACAUGAAGCUGGAAUCGCUAGUAAUCGUAGAUCAGCAUGCUACGGUGAAUACGUUCCCGGGUCU
RNAcentral lists this ribosomal RNA (1372 nucleotides) under uncultured bacterium. Its description in RNAcentral is "bacterial SSU rRNA". It matches the Rfam family "Bacterial small subunit ribosomal RNA", at positions 28 to 1381 of the family's 1533-position model. The record is from RNAcentral.